UGGAAAAGAGGAAAGGCUGAUUUUGG
This 26-nucleotide non-coding RNA is filed under the name Mus musculus (house mouse). Lineage: Eukaryota; Metazoa; Chordata; Mammalia; Rodentia; Muridae. The record is from RNAcentral.